This 1386-nucleotide ribosomal RNA is filed under the name uncultured bacterium. RNAcentral describes it as "16S ribosomal RNA". It matches the Rfam family "Bacterial small subunit ribosomal RNA". The record is from RNAcentral.
UUCGCCCUUAGAGUUUGAUCCUGGCUCAGGACGAACGCUGGCGGCGUGCCUAACACAUGCAAGUCGAACGGACGAGGAGGAGCUUGCUCCUCCGAGUUAGUGGCGGACGGGCGAGUAACGCGUGAGGAACCUGCCCUUGAGUGGGGAAUAAUGACCGGAAACGGGCGCUAAUACCGCAUAACAUAUUGGGAUGGCAUCGUCCCGAUAUCAAAGGAGUAAUCCGCUGAAGGAUGGCCUCGCGUCCGAUUAGCUAGUUGGUGGGGUAACGGCCUACCAAGGCGACGAUCGGUAGCCGAACUGAGAGGUUGAUCGGCCGCAUUGGGACUGAGACACGGCCCAGACUCCUACGGGAGGCAGCAGUGGGGGAUAUUGGUCAAUGGGGGAAACCCUGAACCAGCAACGCCGCGUGAGGGAAGACGGCCUUCGGGUUGUAAACCUAAGUGAUCAGGGAUGAAACAAAUGACAGUACCUGAAAAGCAAGCUCCGGCUAACUACGUGCCAGCAGCCGCGGUAAUACGUAGGGAGCAAGCGUUGUCCGGAUUUACUGGGUGUAAAGGGUGCGUAGGCGGGAACACAAGUCAGGCGUGAAAUACCGGGGCUCAACUCCGGGGCUGCGCUUGAAACUGUGUUUCUUGAGUGAAGUAGAGGCAGGCGGAAUUCCUAGUGUAGCGGUGGAAUGCGUAGAUAUUAGGAGAAACACCAGUGGCGAAGGCGGCCUGCUGGGCUUUAACUGACGCUGAUGCACGAAAGCAUGGGGAGCAAACAGGAUUAGAUACCCUGGUAGUCCAUGCUGUAAACGAUGAUUGAUAGGUGUGGGGGGACUGACCCCUUCCGUGCCGGAGUAAACACAAUAAGCAAUCCACCUGGGGAGUACGACCGCAAGGUUGAAACUCAAAGGAAUUGACGGGGGCCCGCACAAGCAGUGGAGUAUGUGGUUUAAUUCGACGCAACGCGAAGAACCUUACCAGGUCUUGACAUCCGACUAACGAAGCAGAGGUGCAUCAGGUGCCCUUCGGGGAAAGUCGAGACAGGUGGUGCAUGGUUGUCGUCAGCUCGUGUCGUGAGAUGUUGGGUUAAGUCCCGCAACGAGCGCAACCCUUGUUGUUAGUUGCUACGCGAGAGCACUCUAACGAGACUGCCGUUGACAAAACGGAGGAAGGUGGGGACGACGUCAAAUCAUUAUGCCCUUUAUGACCUGGGCUACACACGUACUACAAUGGCCGUCAACAACGGGAGGCAAAACCGCGAGGUGGAGCAAAACCCCAAAAACGGUCUCAGUUCAGAUCGCAGGCUGCAACCCGCCUGCGUGAAGAUGGAAUUGCUAGUAAUCGCGGAUCAGCAUGCCGCGGUGAAUACGUUCCCGGGCCUUGUACACACCGCCCGUCA